This is a long non-coding RNA of Hyaena hyaena (striped hyena), 91 nucleotides long. RefSeq lists it as uncharacterized. The record is from RefSeq and is a predicted model, not a curated record. Lineage: Eukaryota; Metazoa; Chordata; Mammalia; Carnivora; Hyaenidae. The transcript has 3 exons.
CAAGAAGCCUGCAGGGUUCCCGCGCUAUGGAGCCCAGGAGAGACCCCGACAGCGGAAGAAGAAAGAGAGAGACAGCGUGAGCAGGGGAGGG